UGGAAAAAAAUGUUCAUUUACACACACAUACACACGCAAAUACUUGAAGUAUACUAAGAAGUGUGUACACUUUAUUAUUGUAUAUAAACGUUCUUGCACACACGCACAUUGUAGAUGGCGCGCUCGCAAGUUGUAUACAUAUUAUAUAUAUAUAUAUGUAAAAACUAGCGUAUACACUAUCACGUUAUUACUUAUAUAGUAGUUAUAUAUAUAUAUAUAUAUUUAUGUAUACGGUAUAUCUGAUAUCUAUAUACGUACGUCUGUCUGGUGUAAGUGGUGUCCUGUCCCCCGAUGUCGCUGGUUGAUAUUAUUAUUAUUAUUAUUAGUUAUUACUAUUGUUCUUGUUCGCCUUUUCGGUAAAACAGAACAUUUUGGUUUUUUAAUCUGCGAUGGAGCGAAUUGUCGCCGUCGCUGCCGCCGUCGUGCGCCGAAACAAUAAUUGUUAGUCGCCGCGCACGUUGGACCCCAAUGUCCACUGUUCCGCCGCCGCCACCGCCGCCGCCGCCGCAGCAGCAGCAAUUCGUCGGCCAUUACCUCAUAAGCGACCCGGAGUGACGGAGACUUAUAGCAAGCAAUGACUGUUCAGCGCUCGAACCGAUAGGUUGUGCUCAGUCGGACGGACGGUCAGUCGGAGACGAUAUUCUUCACCAGCGACGUUGACCGCUGCCACAGCUUGUUGCUGAGCGCCGGUCGUUCGUUUCAGGGGCAGUCUUGCACAGCGAACAAAUGCUGUUGACAUCCACUGCUAGUAUCCAGUAAAGAGAGGUGUUGCGCACGUCACCGGUGACGCGAUGGCUGUUCACCGACAUGAAGAAGGAUCUGCAUCGUCGUCAAUGUCUAUCAGUACCAUAGAGCCCAUGACGACGAUCGACUGCAGUCGAAAGAGGAUUCACAGCGAAACAGUUGAUUCAGAUAUCGAUGAAAAUACUAAAAAAACACCAAUAAGUUCAAAAAAAUUUCCUAAGUAUGUGGAUUGUCAAGAAACGUUGGUCGAAAUGUCAUUUAUUAAAUGGUUAGCUGGUUUUCGGUUGGAAUGCCGUAUGAUUUCAUGCAGUACACAUACAGAACUUUUCAUUGGAUUAUUUAAUUUUUUUUGUCUGAAUAUAGCACCAGAAAUGGUUGACUGCAGAAAUAAAAUUAAUAAAUCAACUCUUUUGAAAUCUUAUCUAGAACAAACCAUGAUGUUUUUUCGAGGAUACUAUAAACGCAUUAAAAAAAUAAGAGGGGAUACUUUGGAUGUUAUAUAUUAUGAUAGAAUGAGUUCAAUGUUGGCAUAUUACAUAGAUUUGAAACUAAUGUCAUCUCAGCGUUAUAAGGAAAACUCAUCUCACAAAAAAACUUCAAGUAAAAUAAAUACAAUGAUAUUUGUUUUUUUAGAUCAGAAACUUGAUUAUAUGUUUGAUGCAGUAUUUCAAUUAUACUAUGUAUUUUAUGGUUCUGUUAAUAUUAAUUUAGGAUCAAUAAUGCUUCCAGUUUUUAAAAAAUUAUUGUCUGAACAUCCAAUGCCUAAAAAAAUGAAGUUUCUUACAUAUUUACGAUAUAUUUUGUGUUUUAAACUGUGGAAAAAAAUAAUUCACUCCUCGGGUAUGGCUAGUGCCGUUAAGAGAAAGGAAUUGGAAAAUAUAAGAUUAUUAUUGAGAGGGUUGAAUGCUCCAUAUGAUUUUAUGAUUCAACAUGCAAAAUAUAAUUGGGCUAACUGGCCAAAAUUGACUAUGUCGCCAAACGGAACACCAGAUACAAUACAAAGAGAUUUAAAAAAUCUUACUUUUGUUUUGUAUCAUACAACUUUAUCACUUAAAGAGUGUUACAAGGAUAUAUUGGAUGCUUCAAGAAAAGAUAUUCCAAUAGUAUUGAAACCAAUUGAAGAACAGUUGAAAGUAUUACGACCGGAAUUAUUUGCAAUUUCAGGAAAAGAAGUGUUAACAAAUUGGAAUGAAAAUUUUGAUGACACUCUAAAACCACUUAUACCAACUACACGUUCUUGUAAUAGCUUGCUGAGAAAAAUCAAGUAUAAUUUUUAUACCCCAGAAAAGUAUGUAUUUGUUGAUGAUGAAACCGAUCAAGUUAGUUCUAUUACAAACAUUGAUGAUUUAAGCAAUUUAAAGCACUUAGGAGAAAGUUCAGAAGUUCCUACGUUGCGGGUCAAAGAAAAUGUGUCACGUGCUGAUAAAAAAUGUACGGAAAAAACUAAUCUUACGACUUCAUCAACGGAUAAAGUAAAUAAUGAAAGCAAAAAAGAUGAAAAUGAGAAAUCUUCUGUUGUAACAAUGAAAUCAGUAGUUGCUAAUGGGGAAUCAUUCCCGGUUAAUGUAAAUCAACACCCAAGUGAUGAUGAACUGCAAAUCAAUGAGAAAAAAUCAAAAUCAUCUGAAAAACAUGCACUACACGGGAACGAAGGCAGAUUUGAUCCUACAUUAUCUAAUAAUGUAAAUAGAUUAAAUUACAUGGCUGAAAUUACAAGUGCUGCUGUUCAUCACUCCUAUGGACCCGGAUGUUCUUUUGCUAAAGGAACAAAAAGAAAUCAAUAUUCAUCAUUUAGUGAAAAUAGUAAAAGCAAAAAAAUUUGCAGAACAAAAUCCAAGCAUGAAAAAAAUAUAUCAAACUGUAACUCAAAUCAAAUCAUUGAUUCUGAUUGCCAGAGCUCGAAUAUUGAUAAUAUUAGUCGUGGCACUUUAAAUAAUGAUAACUUAGUACUUGAAAAUCUAAAGAACUCUCAAGAUAUAAAUGGAGUUUCUCGCCUAAUGAAUGAAACUUCAGCCAAAGAUAAUAAAUGGAUAUCAAAAGCAUCACACCCUGAAUUAUCUAUAACUGCUGUCUUAAAUUUGAAACAGACUAAUUUUACUGUCAGUGAUAAAGACGAAAGUAUAGGCAAUUGUAUUCCUAAAGUUAUUGAUCUAAGUAGUGAUCAGGAUGAUACUGCUUCUCCUUCAAGUGACAUUCAGUGGCCUAUAAAGUUAUCACAUUCUGAACCAUAUUCUCCAGAAUCUAAACCAAUGGUUGACAAUUCUGAGCAAAUGGAAAUUGAAACAACAAGCUCUGAUACUGAAGGUAACAAUAGUCCAAAGACUGAUCAUUUAUUAUCAUUAAGAAACUCCGAGGAAAUAAUUUCAAAAUUAGUUUCAUCUAGACGAUCUAUCAAGGAAAAUGAAAACACACAAAUUUAUGCUUUGCCUAUGGAACAGAAACUAUCUCACGUAGAACAUCCUUAUGUUGAAAAUACCAUUAAUUCAAAUACCCGAGACUUGGAAGUAGUAAAUGUGUUAUCUCCUGUUUCUAUUAACUCAACUGAUAUCCCUAUGAAUAAAAGUUCAUGGGUUCCUGAUAUGUCAUUGGUACAUGCCCAUAAUGAUCAUAAUGAUAUUGACUGUGAUCAUUCUCAGUCUUCUUUACAACAAUUAAAUGGUUUAUGUAAUUCAAUUAACAUUAACACUAGUCGUGUUACUAAUCAAAAUAGUGAAGUUGAAAUUUUAAAUAAUAUGCAGUUGGAAACUUCAGUUAUGUCUAGACCAUGUUCUUACAAUCGUAUCGAAUCAAGAAUAUUUCCCGAAGAUUCAUAUACAGCUGCUUUGUCUCCUAGUGAAAGUUCGGUUUCAAAUUCAGCUUAUGGUACUGCAUAUGAUGUAAAUCGAAUACCUUUGGCAGCUACUGUUAAACCUAUUCCUGUUACUGUGUCUCCAAAAGAUGUAGCACAUGAAUUAAAUGAUUCCGGUAGUAGCAUUUAUCACAAUAGUACAAUGAACAUGUGUUUUAAUGGGUUUAAGAAAAAAUCUAUCAUAGAACAACAACCUUCUUAUAAUUUUGCAAUGAACAAAUCUAGACCAACUGAUAUGAAUAUUAUAGAACGGGGUUCAUCAACUAACAAAGACAAACAUGAUGUUAUUGAUGUAGUUUCGGAUGAAUUUAGUGAUGUCGACUCCAUGGAUUUAAGAAUCAACAGUGCUGAACCUAAAGAUAUUAAUUUAUCUAUGUCUAGUCUAAUAUCAACUGAUUUAAAAUCAAUUAAUACACUUAAUAGUUUUGAAAAGUGCGGUAAUUGGUCUACCAUUAAAAAUCCAUCCGACACAUCUAAUCAUCACCAAAAGCAAAAAUUAAAAAUAUAUACAGAUCCAACAGAAAUGAUUUCAGUACCAAUUAAUCUGAAUACACAGUCUGUAAUGCCAAUUAAUUUGAAUGAAGCACAUGUACAAAAGGUGUUUUUAGGAAAUAAAAGUCCUCCACAAGUAUAUUACAGUCCAAUUGCUGAUUUCCGUGUUUCAUCAGAUAUAGAUAUGAUAAAUCAUGGAAAUAUAGAAGAUCCCAAUUUAAUUCAUUUUAAGAAUAGACAGAGAAGUUGUGUAAACAUGUGCUCAAAUGAUAAAUAUAUUCAUCCUAUGUUACAACCAACUGAUAAUGAUCCAAAUGUAAAACAAACUAUAAUUAAUGGCUAUGAUGGAGUUCUUAAUCAAAAUUCGUCAAUUAUGAAUAAUGGACUUUUGUAUAAGUAUCCAAGACCUGACAGUAACGCAUCUGUUAGAUAUGAAAAUCCUCCUCUUAGACUACAAAAUAAAAACCCAGAACGCAUAUCACCACAUAAUGGGUUACAAUAUUCAAGUUAUGAUCAGAUACUAGGACCAAGUUUGUUGGAAGAUCCAAAUCAAAAAGAAGAACAGUCAAUGAUUAAUAUGACACAUUUAAUGCUACAAUCUAGUAAAAAUUGUAAAGUUCAUUAUAAAUGGCCUUUAAAUAAAAACAAAAGUCAAACUUCUUCAAACGGAAAACUUUUAGAAGCUUCUCAAAGUCUGGAUUAUAAAAGAAAUUCAAAUGUUUUGUAUAAAUAUACCGAUGAAGAAUUAAAUCAAAAAAUGUCACCAAAUGAAAUUCCAAACCAAUGCACUAGUUUGUCAUUUAACGAAAGAAUAAAUAAUAGCACUUCAAUACAGCCAAACCAACAUUUCCAAGACUUAUCUAAUUUUAUUGCACCUGAUCAUCUUUCACCUACAAUGCAAUCUGGAUCUGAUUCUAUUGAUGAAAAAACACCGAUUCAAACAAUUACAAUCAAUUUUAAAGGCGAUCCGCGAACAGAACCAACUGAUCAUCAAGAAAUGUAUAGAAAUACCAAAAUACUAAGCCAAAGUAAAGAAUCAAGUACAUCAUUUGGCAUGGAUGGUUAUAAAGCAGCCCACUACUUAUUCAAUAGGGGCAAGUUAUUUUUAUGCAUGUAUCCAAAAUGCACCAACAGACAUCAUUUCCGUGUUAUACCUUCUAAUGCAGAAAUGCUACGGCAUGAGUUCACUGUACCAUUUGAUGACUUCCGUUUCAAUAUACAGUAUAAAUAUAAACAGUUAUUAACUUCAAACCCAAGAACAUGGCCUAGUAUACCUGAAUUAGUACAGUUACCUAAACGGUGUCUGUGUGAAAUUUGUGGUGAUUUUGAUUCUAAAUUAAAUCAAAAUCAAGACAUGUUAUAUACAUAUGUCGAAGGGAAAAAGCCAAGUAUUGAAGAAGACAAUUGUGAAAAUGAACAGCCUACAAAUACGCAAAUAACAUUGAGUUGGAAAAAACAUUUGGCACAUCGUUUUACUUCAGAAGAUGUUGAAAAACAGUCUAUUUCACAGAUGAUAGAGGAUAUGGAAAGACAUAUAAAAAGUUUUGCAUAUGCUUUUACAAUUAUUUUUCCACUAAAUAAAGAUGUGAAAAGCAAUUCACAAAAUUUACAAAAUGCAUGUGAAAGUUAUUCUGAUGCUGCUAAUGAUAAUAAUGAAUCAUUGAAUUCUGAAUGUAAAGAAAAACUUGAUAUUGGACAUAAAUAUUUUAAUAAAGACUUACAUCUUCAUUCUUAUCAAUAUUUACAAGUACCUAAUAAAGUUAUACCAAAACAUGUUUUGGAAGAAUUAUCCAAUUCAUCAUACCAACCACCUAACCAAAAUUUAUUAGCUACUUCACAUCAGUUUGAUGAAGAACAUUUCCCUAAUGAAAUAAAUAGGUAUUUUGUAAAGAACUCUCUUAGUCCUUCAUAUCAAUCAAUAAACCUAAAUUUAACUAGCCAGUCUUUAAAAUAUGUUCAUGAAAAUAUAUCUAACACAUCACAUCAAACUGCUGUAGAGAGUUCACCUAGUACAUCACAUCAAUCAUCAAUUGGAAAUCUAACAAAUUCUUCUCAUCAACCCAUUUUAAACAAUUUUCCUACAACAUCACAUGGGAUCUCUCUGGACACGUGUUCUUCUUUGAACGAUAGAGGCCCCAAACAUAAUCAUGUGUCUCGUUAUUAUUCUGAUGGACAAAUGUAUACAGAAUUCCCCCACACAUAUCUUCAAGUUCCUAGUGCUCAGUUUCCAAAUUCUUCAACAAAUUCAUACUAUGGCUCACCUGUAAAUAUGCCAUCAGAUAAUUCUGUGCCAUUUUGUUCUCCAAGUUUAUCAAUAAACUCUGUGCCUCAUUCACCAUCAUCAGAUUGCAGCAUACCAUCCUUGGUUGAAACGGUCGCUACUGCUGUACCUGAGCAUGCUUUGUUAGAUGAUAGUUUAGAAGCAGUAAAUGCUGCUCAUAACUUAAUGUUGAUCUCAAACCGCCAUAGGUACAACAGUACUACUUCAAUUACAACUACUAAAACUACUGACACUAUUACAGUCGCAAGUACCGCAAAUACUAAUUAUAAAACUGUUAAAAAUUCAAGUAUUAAUACAACUGACAUAAAAGCUAAUAAAAUUUCCAUAGCUGACACUAUAGUUAAUAAUAUUUCUCCAGCUGAUAUUACUGCUAAUAAUAGUUCACUCCUUGACUCUACUAAUAAUAAUAUUUCUACUACUUGCAAUUUGAGUGGAACUGUACAACCUUCUAUAACUGAACCAGAGGAUCAAGAAACAGAUAUUGUCCACAAUAGUCGAAGAAAAAAGAAAAAGAAACACGAUAAAAAAAAGGAUAAGAAAAAAAAGGGAAAGCGUUGAUGAUUUUUAUUAAUUUAAGUUUUUAUUUUUCCAUUUAAGCUUAACAUUCCAAGCUUAUAAAAUUUUAAACAAUAGUAAAACCAACAGAUUUAAAAAAAAUGUUUUUUUAUAACAUACUGUGAUUUUUAUUUACUUUUAAACAAACUGUGAUAAUUUAAUAUUGCUCAUUUUCUUUCUUUCUUCAUAUUUGCUAAAUACAAUUUACAUUUUAAUUAUGUUUUAAAACAUAUUCAUUUAAAUUAUAAAAAUAUUUUUUCUCUACACAGUUUAUUUUAAAACUAUAAUAACAUUUUUGCAUUUAUUAUCUAUAUUUUGUUUUAAACAAAUUUAUCACAGUCUUAAAAUGCAACGGUUUCUAAUAACUAUCAUCAUGAAUUCUUAACAAAAAAAAAAAAAUUAUAAAUCACAUUAAGGAAGGAUAAGUGAAAGUGGACAUUGACUGUUAAUCUAUUCAGUUAAAUAGAACAUUAGGAGAAAAAAAUGUCAAAUUUGUUGAAAUUUAAUUAGUCCAAAUAUUAUUAUCUAAGUAAUUUUUUUUCUCUUUUUUUUUGCGAUAAAUGUUAAUAACUGAGUAAGUACUAAAGUUAGAAUUAAUUGUUAAAAUAGUUAUAUUACCAGUCUGUUAAGUAUUAUAUAAGAUUAAGUCACUAAUGUAACUUGGUACCUACUAAAAUUUCAAACACAACUUUGUUUUAUCAGGUACCUUAACAUUUUCAAAGGUAAAUUUGUAUCAUUUAAAAUUCUUUGAAACAUACGUAAUUAGUUUAAAACUAUUGAAUUAAUUAAUGUAAUUUGUAAGACUAAUAUUUGACCACAUUGCAUCGAACAACUGCCUGUAAAUAAUCUAGGAAAAACCAAAACUGUCGAUUUAUAUAUUUAGACUAUUUAGAAAAGAAUCAAUAGUCUUUCAAAAUUGCCACAAUAUAUGUCAGUAUAAUAUAAUGGGUCAAUUUGGAAUUGUUUUGUCUUAUCAAGAAACGAGUUUUAUUUAAAUAAAUAUACAAUGUUAGCGGUACAAUCAACGGAUUCAAGGAAGAAAGCAUUCACAGCUGAAUAAAAAUGUUAUCAAAGCGAAAAAUAUGGCAACUAACCACUGAAAAUUAUUUUUUCAGUCAGAAUUUCAACAAUAUUAUUAACUACUAAUUAGAUGAAAGUUCAAGAUUUCCAGAAGAAGGAUAUAAUAGGUUUAAAUGUAUCUAUUAAAUCUGAAGAAAUAUUAAAAUACAUGUCGAAAUUGCAAAAUUUGAUUAGCAUUAUUUAAAAAAAUACUUAUUUUCAAAUUGUCAUCAAUCUGAAAAGUAGUUUAAAUCAUGUUAAUAUCAGAUAAUAAAUAUUAAAAGAUUUACUAUAUAAGGAGUUACGCUGUUGUAACUUAAAAUUAUUUACAUAUUACGAGAUACCGCUCAUCAAAAUCCUAAUUAAACUCAGUUAUUGGCACUGUCAAACAAGCAGAAGAAGAUGUGUUUGGAUAAUAAUAUCCUAGCCUAACUAGAACACUUAAUAUUAUAAUGAUCAGUUGAUGAAACAUUUCAUUUGAUUGUAACUGGGUUACAAAAAUCAUAUUUAAUGAUGCAAUCAUGUCAAAUAAUCAAUUACUCAGAUAAUGUUUUCGAGUUAUAAUUUAAAAAAUAUAAAAAAAUGUACUCAAUAGACCUAUAGAUAACUUUUUUAAUGUAUUUUUUUCUGUUUUAAAAUAAUUGAUUUGGACAAUGUUAUUUUUUUUUUAAAUUUAUGUUAGUGGUAAUGUUUCCUAAUUUAUCAUGGUCAUAAUUGAUCUCAAUAUUAUUAUAAUUUAUAAUUUUUUGUGCUGCCCCUUUGAGGUUUAAUGUAAAUAAUAACAAUGAUAUAAUAAUAAUUUUAACAUUUUAUUUAUACUACUAUUAUUUUCAUUAUUAUUAUUAUUAUUAUUAUAUUUUUUUUUUGUUAUAGCUUUCAUUUGUUAUUAAUAUAAUUGAUAAUCCUAUUGAUACAUUAUUUUUUGUACAGGGGAAUUAUAAUAAAACAUAGGCUAUUAGAAUAAAAAAUGAAUCCAAUUAUUUCAUAUUUUAAAAAGCAAAAAAAAAGUUAUGAGCUCAUUUAUUAUAAUUAUACAUUGUAAAGUUUGUGUGUUUUAGUGUAUCUUGUACAUAUUGGUCUUGCUAAGACUUUAUUAUUAUUAAAAUAUAUUAUAAAGUCAUAAAUAGCUGUUGUUUAACAAGUUUACUUUUUAUUACUAUGUAUAAAUUAAUAAUUAAUUACGUGUUUAAUUAUUGCAAAAUAAAAAUUUUAGUAUUAUGGUUUUAAAAAAAGGUGAUAUAUAAUAUGAUGUAAACAAAUAUCACUAUUAUUUUUGUUGAUGCCGAAACAACAGACAGUUGUAAAGGAAACAUGAUUUAGGAUUGUUGUAUGAUCAAAACCUUUUUUUCAUAAUCAUCCAAUCAACUAUUGUUUUGGCACCAACAAUGUAAUAUAAACUAAUUUUAAAUUAUAUAAUAUAUUAUUUUCAUCAUCGUCAUUAUUUUUAUUUUUAUUAUUAUUAUUAUUAUUUUUAUAACAUUGUACAAAAUCACUAUACAUUAUUAUUAUUUCUUUUUUUUACUUACAAUUAUUAUACAUUAAUAACUAUGUAGUAGGGUUUUGUUCGCGACCUCUGCUUCUAACAUAUUAUAUAUAUAUAUAUAUAUUCCUUAACGUCGUAGCAUGUCAAUUGUAUGUUUUUUCACCUAAACCAUAAUAUAAUAUUAUAAUAUAUUACAAACAUUAUAUCUUUAAUAUUAUAUGUAAUAUUAAGAAUGUUAUUUACUCAAUGUUAAUAUUGCUUGUUUAUGGUUUUAUAUUAUAUAUUAUUAUUAUUAUUAUUAUUAUUAUUAUUAAAAUAUAAUACAAUAAACAUGUGAAUGUUUAAAUAAAUAUACGAUACUAUGUGUAUAUAAUAACUAGAUUGAUGUUAUUGUCUGUAUAUUUUUUUUUCAAUUUAUAAGCUCAUGCUCUAUAUCAUUAUCAUUAUUUUAAUUUGAGGUAAUUAAAAAAAAAAAAAAACUUACAAUAAAGUAUAAGACUCAUCACUGAUUUCAGUAUGGCCACUAUGGCAGACGUUACUAUUCAAUUGAAAAUAAAUCUGUAUUUUCAUAACAUAAUCUUAUAAUGGUGUAUCAACUAUUUUUCUUCGAUUGAUUUUAAUAAUUUUUUUAUAUUUUUUUUUUUAUUCAAUAUGCCUAAUACAUAUUACAUAAUAUAUAAAAUAUAAUAUGUAUGCCUAUUACACCAUCACAAUAUUAAUUACAUUAUUUUGUGUAAACUUAGAAGUAAUUUUGUAUCCUUGUAAUUAAUUUAUGAAACAUAAAAAUAAAACAACAAAAGUCAAUAUUCGUGUAUAAUUAUAAAUUAUAUUAUAUUUUCAAUCAGUUGUAAAUAAUCGUUCUAAAUGUUAAUUAUUGUUGUGUAAUUAUUAUUAUAAUUGAUGUUGUAAUCUUCUCAUGAAUUAAACCAAAGGUUUUGUUUCAAUA
Molecule: RNA transcript, 10408 nt
Organism: Rhopalosiphum padi (bird cherry-oat aphid)
Lineage: Eukaryota; Metazoa; Arthropoda; Insecta; Hemiptera; Aphididae
Exons: 13
Source: RefSeq, a predicted model, not a curated record